Molecule: ribosomal RNA, 253 nt
Filed under: uncultured bacterium
Lineage: Bacteria
Description: partial 16S ribosomal RNA
Rfam family: Bacterial small subunit ribosomal RNA
Source: RNAcentral
UACGUAGGGGGCAAGCGUUGUCCGGAAUCAUUGGGCGUAAAGAGCGUGUAGGCGGUCCGGUUAGUCGGCUGUGAAAGUCCAGGGCUCAACCCUGGGAUGCCGGUCGAUACUGCCGGACUAGAGUCCGGAAGAGGCAAGUGGAAUUCCCGGUGUAGCGGUGAAAUGCGCAGAUAUCGGGAAGAACACCCGUGGCGAAGGCGGCUCUCUGGGACGGUACUGACGCUGAGACGCGAAAGCGUGGGGAGCGAACAGG